This 253-nucleotide ribosomal RNA is filed under the name uncultured bacterium. Its description in RNAcentral is "partial 16S ribosomal RNA". It matches the Rfam family "Bacterial small subunit ribosomal RNA", at positions 524 to 776 of the family's 1533-position model. The record is from RNAcentral.
GACGAACCGUGCGAACGUUGUUCGGAAUUACUGGGCGUAAAGCGCGCGCAGGCGGUCUUCCAAGUCAGUGGUGAAAGCCUGGAGCUCAACUCCAGAACUGCCAUUGAAACUGUUAGACUUGAGUACGAGAGAGGUGAGUGGAAUUCCCAGUGUAGAGGUGAAAUUCGUAGAUAUUGGGAAGAACACCAGUGGCGAAGGCGGCUCACUGGCUCGUAACUGACGCUCAGGCGCGACAGCGUGGGGAUCAAACAGG